Molecule: ribosomal RNA, 263 nt
Filed under: Melissotarsus insularis
Lineage: Eukaryota; Metazoa; Arthropoda; Insecta; Hymenoptera; Formicidae
Description: partial 12S ribosomal RNA
Source: RNAcentral
AAAUUAAAUGUAAAACAUUAAAUUUAAAUAAUUUGGCGGUAUUUUAAAUAAUUAGAGGAAUUUGUUAGAUAAAUGAUAAUCCACGAUAGGAAAGUCCUAAAAAGUAUUUUUAUGUAUUGUUAUUUAAAAAUUAUUUUAAAAGAAUAAAAAUGAUUAGGAAAUUUAAUUAAAUUUAAAUUUAAAUCAAAAUAUAGAAUUUUUAGGAUUAAAUGAAUUACAGUUUAUUUAAAAUUAUAUAAAAAUUGGAAUUUAAUAUUAAAAUA